GUUCUGUGGAUCGAUCAAAGAAAGGAACCAAGGGGAAAACCCUAAGUUCUACAAAUCAGCAAGAUUGAAAGGGAAAUCAAGAUCAAAUAACCUGCAUGAACUCGAUUCUCUAGUAAUCUAAGCUUGUCCUACAAAGAGGCGUUAAGGAAGAAAGUUCGAGUCAAGUGAAGCAACAAGGGGAUCAAGACCGAGGUAAAUCUCAUGUCUAGCUAUCAAGCUUUGCCCGGAUCGAACACAUCUCAAGCCCGUCAAGCGCUCCGCAUUUUGUAUAAAAUCAAUGUCAAAUUACCUAGUUACUUAUGUCUAUGUUUUGUACUUAAAACUAGUUUGGUCAUGGU
This is a long non-coding RNA of Helianthus annuus (common sunflower), 338 nucleotides long. RefSeq lists it as uncharacterized. The transcript has 3 exons. NCBI's taxonomy places the organism in Eukaryota, Viridiplantae, Streptophyta, Magnoliopsida, Asterales, Asteraceae. The record is from RefSeq and is a predicted model, not a curated record.